CACUUUGGGAGGCCGAGGUGGGCGGAUCACUUGAGGUCAAGAGUUCAAGACCAGCCUGGCCAACAUGGUGAAACCCCAUCUCUACUAAAAAUACAAAAAAAAUUAGCUGGGCAUGGUGGCGCAUGCCUGUAAUCCCAGCUACUCGGGAGGCUGAGGCAGGAGAAUCGCUUGAACCUGGGAGGCGGAGGUUGCAGUGAGCUAAGAUCGCACCACUGUACUCCAGCCUGGGCAACAGAGCGAGACCCUGUCUCAAAAAGAAAAAAAAGAAAAAGAAAAAGAAAGAAAGAAAGAGAGAAAGAAAGAAAAAGAAAGAAAGAAGGAAAGAGAAAGAAAGAAAGAAAAGAAAAAAAAUGAAAUCCCAUAUUCA
Molecule: long non-coding RNA, 367 nt
Filed under: Homo sapiens (human)
Lineage: Eukaryota; Metazoa; Chordata; Mammalia; Primates; Hominidae
Description: HSALNT0407070
Rfam family: Metazoan signal recognition particle RNA (bases 106-253)
Source: RNAcentral